RNAcentral lists this ribosomal RNA (587 nucleotides) under uncultured bacterium. RNAcentral's name for it is "bacterial SSU rRNA". It matches the Rfam family "Bacterial small subunit ribosomal RNA", at positions 338 to 916 of the family's 1533-position model. The record is from RNAcentral.
CCUACGGGAGGCAGCAGUAGGGAAUCUUCCGCAAUGGACGAAAGUCUGACGGAGCAACGCCGCGUGAACGAUGAAGGCCUUCGGGUCGUAAAGUUCUGUUGUUAGGGAAGAACAAGUGCUAGUUGAAUAAGCUGGCACCUUGACGGUACCUAACCAGAAAGCCACGGCUAACUACGUGCCAGCAGCCGCGGUAAUACGUAGGUGGCAAGCGUUGUCCGGAAUUAUUGGGCGUAAAGCGCGCGCAGGCGGUUUCUUAAGUCUGAUGUGAAAGCCCCCGGCUCAACCGGGGAGGGUCAUUGGAAACUGGGAAACUUGAGUGCAGAAGAGGAAAGUGGAAUUCCAAGUGUAGCGGUGAAAUGCGUAGAGAUUUGGAGGAACACCAGUGGCGAAGGCGACUUUCUGGUCUGUAACUGACGCUGAGGCGCGAAAGCGUGGGGAGCAAACAGGAUUAGAUACCCUGGUAGUCCACGCUGUAAACGAUGAGUGCUAAGUGUUAGAGGGUUUCCGCCCUUUAGUGCUGAAGUUAACGCAUUAAGCACUCCGCCUGGGGAGUACGGUCGCAAGACUGAAACUCAAAGGAUUGACGG